Molecule: ribosomal RNA, 253 nt
Filed under: uncultured bacterium
Lineage: Bacteria
Description: partial 16S ribosomal RNA
Rfam family: Bacterial small subunit ribosomal RNA
Source: RNAcentral
UACAGAGGUCUCAAGCGUUGUUCGGAUUCAUUGGGCGUAAAGGGUGUGUAGGUGGCGCCGUAAGUCGGGUGUGAAAUUUCGGAGCUUAACUCCGAAACUGCAUUCGAUACUGCGGUGCUUGAGGACUGGAGAGGAGACUGGAAUUCAUGGUGUAGCAGUGAAAUGCGUAGAGAUCAUGAGGAAGACCAGUGGCGAAGGCGGUUGCCUGGGGCUUUGCUGACGCUGAGGCGCGAAAGCGUGGGGAGCGAUCCGG